UACGUAGGGACCAAGCGUUGUUCGGAUUUACUGGGCGUAAAGGGCGCGUAGGCGGCGAAUCAAGUCAGUUGUGAAAUCUCCGAGCUUAACUCGGAACGGUCAACUGAUACUGUUUUGCUAGAGUGCAGAAAGGGCAACCGGAAUUCUUGGUGUAGCGGUGAAAUGCGUAGAUAUCAAGAGGAACACCUGAGGCGAAGGCGGGUUGCUGGGCUGACACUGACGCUGAGGCGCGAAAGCCAGGGGAGCAAACAGG
RNAcentral lists this ribosomal RNA (253 nucleotides) under uncultured bacterium. RNAcentral describes it as "partial 16S ribosomal RNA". It matches the Rfam family "Bacterial small subunit ribosomal RNA", at positions 524 to 776 of the family's 1533-position model. The record is from RNAcentral.